Molecule: long non-coding RNA, 1190 nt
Organism: Myzus persicae (green peach aphid)
Lineage: Eukaryota; Metazoa; Arthropoda; Insecta; Hemiptera; Aphididae
Exons: 2
Source: RefSeq, a predicted model, not a curated record
AAUAAACCAUAUUAUUAUGGAAUAUUGGUAUUAUUUAUCAUUUAAGGAUAGGUAUUGUAUACUGUAUAAGUAUAUGAGCCGAGUGCCCGAGUAGGUACAUUUACUGAUGUAACGUGCAUUAUAUUCUUUAUUGACUUACUGGCUACGUACCUUUGAGCUAUAAAUGCUUUUAAAAAUAAAAACAAACUUAAUUUAAGCCUAAAUGACCUUCGUUGUACAAAAAUAAUAAGUCGUAGUUUUUACAAACUGGUUGUGUUGUAUGUACACUUUAAUAUUGUAAACCAUUAAAAUCAUUUAUUUUUUAACCGAUUGUACCUAUAGGUGAGUAGGUAGGCAACGAGACGUGUUGGCCGUCAAGAGAAUCGCUCUGUACACGCAUAAUGGAUAAUAUAUUUAGCCAUAUGAUUAUAUAAGCACAAAUUUCGUUUAAUACAAUAAUUUAAUAUUGACUGUUGAGUUUUUAAAUCUUGUAUAGAACAGUUUUAGAUAGGUACCAGGUACCUACUACCUAACUUGAGUCGUCCACGGAACGAGCUUUUCAAAGUUCGAAGACUUAUAUAUCUACACAAGUCCGAACACACCAGGACGGCGUGAUAUAGGUAAUGCGAUUUAAAUAAUUAAAUAUAAGCACUCAACUCGAAUGACUUAUACUAUAUCAUAAUUGAUCAUAAUAUUAUUAUUAUCGUGACGAACUACUCACAAAUGCACAAUGUAUACAAAUAAUAAUUACAAUAAUAAUCCGUGUUAGUAGUUUUCGAGAAGAUACCUUGAUCGGGUCUGGAUGUUUCAUGCAAACAGCAAGUUGCAAUGCUGUUUACUCGUAUAUGUAUAGGUACGACCUACGUGCCCUCAGUCUUGUGAGCUGUAAGCACAGCGCUGGCACCAUACGUCCGACAUGGGUCGAAAUUGCAACUUCGAGGUUACCAGCUGUGGUAUCAAUAUUGACCUACGGAAAGAAUGAUCCAAUUGAUCGAAGGAAUCAAUAAAUUGAUCGUCCUGCCAAUGAGCGCACGCCCUACUUUAUUUAGUCUAUAAUUAUAUUAUCUUUAAUAUAUUGUGUUUUGUUAAUUAUUAUUUACAAUAUGUUCUCAAAAUGUCUUAUACUUUAAGUCAUAUGAACUGUUAGUUGUAAUUACUUUCUGUUGUCGUUUAUUGUAUUCUUUAAUUAUAUUAAAUUGUAAUUGCACCUU